AUGGAGAUCGCUGCCAUCGCUCUUAUUCUGGCGACGAUGAUCGCCUCCAAAGCCGCAGCACAGAACAACGGUUGCUCGAGCGUGAUGAUGACCCUAUCCCCAUGCCUUGACUUCAUCGGAAGCAAAGCCCUGGAGCCCGGUUUCUCCUGCUGCACCACGCUCGCCGGCAUCGUCCAGACCGACCCCCGUUGCCUCUGCAUGGUUCUCGAUGGCAGUGCGGCGUCAUUUGGCAUCGUCAUUAACCACACGAGGGCCCUGGAGCUCCCUAGCAUCUGCAAGGUCCAAGCACCGCCGAUUAGCCAAUGCACAGGUCUGUAAAUGUUACGAUCCAUUGCACCCUAGAGUAAGUAACAUGCCGCUUCUUAAACUCAUUACAUCAGACUUCUCAAAUUCCAGCCAUCCCAGUUCCUCCAGCAACAGCGCCAGAAGACCCACCGGAGGAGACGAGCAACCAAGUCGCAGAUGCACCUAAAG
RNAcentral lists this ribosomal RNA (474 nucleotides) under Triticum aestivum (bread wheat). RNAcentral describes it as "partial small subunit ribosomal RNA". Lineage: Eukaryota; Viridiplantae; Streptophyta; Magnoliopsida; Poales; Poaceae. The record is from RNAcentral.